This is a non-coding RNA of Biomphalaria pfeifferi, 464 nucleotides long. The record is from the annotation of a GenBank genome assembly. Lineage: Eukaryota; Metazoa; Mollusca; Gastropoda; Planorbidae.
AUUUGUCUUGGCACAUCACAUUUAUUUAUUUUUCUUAAUAUAAAAAUGCAAAACUUUUCUCUAUUUUAAUCAGCAAGAUUUUUUGAGCCAGUAAACAAAUUGUUUUAAUAUGCAAUAAUCUUUUUUUUUUUUUUUUUUAAAUAAAAGUACAACUUAUUAAGUAGCAUACUAUGUUAAAAGAAUGAAAUGAACAUUUUUUUUUUUUUCAAAAACUCAAAAUCAGGUGAUGUUGAUUUUUAAAAUGAGAACAUUUGACUGCUUCUACCAUGUGAACAAUUACAAGUAGGAUUAAGCAUUUCUCAGUUUAAGACUACACUGCAGCAAGAAAAACACAACUCACUCUUAAGAUAUAAACAGGGAGUGAAAAUACAUGAUUUUAAGACAAAGACUGUACAUUUUACCAUCAAAUUCAAAACUUUAUUACACUAAGAGAAAAAUGCCAAGAGACAGAUGAAAAAAAAAAA